Molecule: long non-coding RNA, 907 nt
Organism: Passer domesticus (house sparrow)
Lineage: Eukaryota; Metazoa; Chordata; Aves; Passeriformes; Passeridae
Exons: 5
Source: RefSeq, a predicted model, not a curated record
CAUCUGCAGAGACUUGUACUUCUCAUCUCUUCUGUCUUUUUUUAACUUCUGUUGUGUCUGCUUUAAAUAAGAAAUAUAAUGGCUCAUGAAAGGAUGUGGAGUAGGGUGUAGGUUUAAGAAAGUCACAGAACAAAGUGUUGUGCCGGGUCUUUGAAUUUCUUAAAAUUAAGCAGUCUUUAGAAGCAGAGCUGUUCACCUUCACUCACAACCUUGGAGCUGCUCUAUGGAAAACCUUCUGUGUUUGACAGGAAGAGAUCUAUCCCUGUUAGUCACUUUUAGUUAGGCUUAAUCACUUAAUCUUACAGAAAUGGUACUGCCGAACUGCAGCCUGCUCUCUCCAGGAACGGCUGCAUGCCCUGUGCCCAGAGCUGUCUUUUUGUGUUACGUGUCACCGCAGACUUUAGCCAGAAAGGUUCUGAACUUGGAAUGGGAGCACGGAGUCACUGGCUAAGACACAGAGCCCCAAGCAAACUGGAGGGGGAGCUAGGAAUAAACAAUAAAAUCAGCUACAGGCUCACCAGUACAGGUACUCACAACGGGGGCAGCUGGAAGCACAUCCCUCAGUGCAGUAAGCAGAGAACACCCAGAUUUUGCUGAGACAAGAGCCACCAUCCAUCAUCAUAUGACAGGUCCCUUUCGAUCCAUAAGCCUUCUGUAAGGUCUCCCUGGAACUUCCCCUUCUCCAAGAUGAACAACCCCAACUCUCUCAGUCUGUCUUUGCAUAACAGAGGUGCUCCAGCCCUGGAAUCAUUGUGGACUCAUUACAGCAGAUCAAUGUCCUUCCUCUGUUGGGGGAUGGAUAUAACACCUCAGUGCUAGAAGGGGAGUAGGGAUUCUCCAUACUUCAAGAAAUAUCUUAAGGAACAAAAGAAAGACAGAGAACAGGAGAUGCAUUGGGAUUGCAAUA